AGUGCUGAGGGUUGAUGUGAGGAGAUUUGUUUUUGAGAUUGCAAAGACUUGGGAGCUACGGUUUCGAUUGACAGUGCUUGUUUGUUAGUUAGCUAUACAUACAAGUUAAAACUGCACACCUCUGAGAACAAGCCAUCUUGACCAGUUCACAGCUAGUUAUGCUAGUUAGCUAGCUAAAUCAGAGAGAAACAUCUGCACGAGCUCAGCCAUCCACACAGACGUGUGUGAAAUUAUUUCACGCUGAACAUUUUUACAACAAAACGUCACAAUCAGAACGAUUGGGAACAAUUUCAGGCUGGGAAGAUUUUUACAUGACACAGGUCAGUGUAAACAAGUAACCAAAGAUUUUUUAUAACUAACCAAAGAUAGACCACUGCAUGUCAUUUCCAGAACAACCAAGGUGGGCAGAGCCAAGCGCAAGCUAGCGAGUGAGUCAUUCCAAUUAAAAAACAUUUAAAUAAAAUAGGGUUGACACACACUGUCUCCGAUAAGAUUAGCAUUCCUGAAACAUUAUUUUGUUUGAAUAUUAAGCUAAUUGAUUGCGCUCAAAUUUGCCAUAAUAGGUUUCAUAUAAUCUAAAAUAAAUAUAGUACCCAGCAUCUGAUUUGGGCCAUAAUUCUUCCUAACAAUUAGUAAGACAUGAGGAAUCCAAUAAAAUUAUAAAAACGUCACCAAAACAUAUAAAUGUUUUCUAAUAAUUGUAUUGAACAACAUGACUGCAAUGCAAAGGUUUAUAAUUGUAUUAUUUUAUUAGGGUUGUGACAAGAUUUUAGUCACCAUCCCAUUUCUCCAUCAAAGUUUUGGGUUUGUAGGAAAAGUCUUCAUAUGAGAAUUGCACCAUACAGAUAGCCCUCUGAGAGCUGCUAUUUGUUGGACUUUUCAAGGAGAGUUGGGUUGACGCAUUAGGUUGAAAAGAGAAGGACAAACUGAAUUGCUUCAGAGGACUGGCUUGACCACCACAUUUAUUUUCAUCAGGCGCAAAGGGUAAUAGUUUUCUACACAAACUUGCAAAGAAAAUGUUGUGAUCCCUUAAAUAAACACAAGACAAUAAAAAUUGAUAGAAGGGUGUGGCGACAGUAGCAGGAAAAGCGGCAUCUAGUGGGUAAAACAUGGUACUUUAACAUGAAUUCAUGGUAAAUAAUGCAAAAUGACUUCAAUGGCUAAUUUAUCUAAACAGGGGGGGAAAAAGAUAAUCAGAUUCACAGGAAAUACAUUACAAAGGACGAAGAAGCAAUACUCCAAGCCGCAGCUCCAUACCAGUUGUUAGACAUAGAAAACCGAUUCUGUAUACUGGUUGAUGGGAUAGUAUUGGCGGGUGGGGGUUCUGGAGCUGGCCUUUGACCAUUUUAUUGGAUUCCUCAUGUCUUACUCAAUGGUAGGAAUAAGUUUGGAUUUAAUCGGAUGUUGGGUACUAUAUUUGUGGAAUAUUAUGUGAAUCCUAUAAAUUAAAAGGGCCAAUUUGGGUGAAAUCAAUUUUCUUAAUUUCUCAGAGAUCAAAUGAAAUUAACAAAAUUACGUUUCACGAACGCUAAUCUUAUGUUUCUAACUUCAGAAACUAUUUCAGAACAAUCUGAGAUGGUGGGUGUCAUGGCUUGCUGAAAUGACAUGGAAUGACCCAUGUAUUUGCAUAUUUCAGUUAGGGAGCCUCCUCUGAAGUGCACGUGUGCGUGCAAUAACUCAAUUUGCCCUUGCAGUCCAAAACAACAAAAAUUGAAACUAUGGCAACGGGUAAAGUAUACAAAACUUUGUCCAUAACGGUUUUGGGAACAGGAAACUGUAUUGAGAUCAAAUGUUUCAUCGAUGAGCAGAAUUUCGGUCAAAAUCCAUCUUCUCCCACUGCCGGCCACAGCUGGACUUCCUCUCAUCACCAUAUUUGGUGGUGAGUGGAAACGCCAACCAAAUGCUUCAGAUUUAUACAUCCGGUGAAACAUCUGGCUCACUGUUCCAUCUGUGGCGUAAAGGUAAGGUUGGUAUCUUCAGACAACUAGUUACCCUGCCAAUAAUAACACAUAGCCAGCUAAAGUUAACUACUGUAGCCAACUACGUUAAAAGUAUAGACUAACGUAGAGUUGAGAAUUCUUAGCUAAAUAACACCCAGCUAUGCGCAGACUCGGGUGUCUGCCAUCAUAUUAUGUUAUAUAAUAUUUGGGGGGGAAGAGAUCCAUUGUAACGUUACAUCCUCAAUUAGCCAAGUUAACUUUAGCCAACUAUAGUUCCUCGCUCCCUUAACGUUAGUCAAGUGGCCAAGCUAAAACGUGAAUCACAGCUAACGUCAGUUAGCAUUCCCUACCGUUGGCUAACUUACCUCGGCCUCAAUUUCUGCUAUUUUGGCGAGUAAACUCAUCUUGUAGCUGGUCCUUAGAUGAUAUCACAUAUAACGAUUAAACACGUGUAAUAGCUAAAUUGUUGCGUUUUUAUCACGCAAGCAUACAAUGGCAAACUAGCAAAAGCUAACACUCAUGUGUUCAACCUGCGGCUCUCGCUAGGAGGAAGAGGCAGCCGGCCAACCAAAGAAACUCGAUGGCAAACCGAGAACUCAAAAAACGGCGACGCCGUUGGCGCUACCUACUGGUAUUAAGUUGUUUGCAGGUUUAUGUCUCUCUCUCCCCAGUCAAAUGGAGGUAUUAGUAAUGCACACACAUCUGUCUUCUCUGUAGGUGUUCCCCUUGGACUCUAGCUGCUCUCGGAGGAGGUGGGUGGUGCAGUGGAGGAUGACCUCCGUCUGGACACAGACUGCGAUCGCUCAGGGCUGUGUUUGUUGUACGGCUGAAGCUGCACCUCCAGGAAGUCCCUGUGCUGCUGGCUGAUGACCUGGCUGAUGAGUCCUGGCAGGGCCUGCAGGUUCCCCAGCAAAGUCUCCAGCUUGGUCUCCAGCAGGGCGAUCCUCUUCUCCAUGUCCUCCCCUCUCUCGUUCAGGUCUGAGAUCAGGUCAUACAUGAUGUUCUGAGUCUGGAGGAGGAAAGACACUCGGUCAUAGUAAGAGGGCAAGACCCUUCCAGAGCAUGUGGUGCUUUAGGCUAGAAGUUGCAGGCAAUUGUAAAAUUAUUUGUUUUAUUUACCUUAUUUUGUAUAUUUUAAUAACCUUUAUUUACACAGGCAAGUCAAUAAAUAAGAACAAAUUCUUAUUUACAAUGGCAAUCUGUCCAGAGCCAUUUGAGGGGCAAAUCGUAAUUUAGUCACAUUUUAAUUUAGUCAUGGAUGUCAAAAGGCUAAGUGGAAGUUUGACUGAAAUGGAAGUUAUGAGUUGCCCCUUAGUUGAAAAGAACCAGCAUGAAAUGUAUACUUCUUAAAAGGAACAGCUUGUGAAUAAUUUGAUUAUCGGUUGCAUCAUUCUAAGUAUCUAAUCAUGCCACUGUUUCCCACUACAACACUAAACUGUUCCCUGGAGAUGUUGCUUUUUUCUCAGAUUAUUAGUCUGCCCUCCAUGGCAGAACUGAACUCAGUCUGCAGCUAUUCUUUUCAACCAUCUUGAAAAAGUGUUAACGCACAGCUGAGUCAAUGUAGACAUAAAUAUAAUAAAAAGUGUCUGGAUACGGGCAAUUCAAAUUUCACAGAUCUCCAUCACAACAAACAAAACCUGAUGCUGUAGAUAAGCAAAUAAAAUAUUAAUUGAUAAUUUGCAGAGAAAUUCUGCUGUAUACACUUACUAACUUCUGCACCAGGAAGUUGAUCUUCUUCCUCUCGACACAUGGCAUGUUAUCAAACAGUGAGAGAUCCAGUUCCAAGGGGGCUGGAGAGUGGGAGAGGGCUGCUGUGUACUGAGCUAAUGUUCACUAUGAGAACAAUCGCUGCCAGCAUGUGGCCAAUGCCAUCCAUCCAUCCAUCCAUCACUUACCUUGUCCUUUCCUCAUUUGGGGUAGGAAUAAUGGGCUGGGUGGCUUGUUUAGAAUCACAGCGAUCCACCUCAGGCCAAAACAACACUGACAGCUUUUCACCACCCUGGCGCUCCAACUUGGGCGGGCAGAUAGGGUUUCACUACGUUGCAUCACUACCAGAGCCACUCAUCACUUCCUAUGAUAUUUUAAAAGGCAAUUUCCACAGAUGAUCAAGGAAUUUAGAAUUGACAUGGUUAGAGGCUUUAAAUUUAUCUUGGAACUUUAUGAAAAUAAGGAUGGAACCUUGAGGCAAUAGCAAAAUGCAACAUGAUAUAGAACUGCCUAAAUUCGAGAUUUUCUGGAGGUAACAAGUGAAUUUUGGAUAGACACAUAGAUGAACUGACUCGAGUUUGCCUCAGUUAAUCAUGAAAAAUUCAACUGCAAAUUAAUUAAAUCUUUAUAACACAGCACUAAUAAAAUAAGACCAGAACUCUGUCAAGAGUAGACUGGGACUGUAAGUAUAUUCAGUUAAGGCACAAAAACGCUUGUGUAAGCAUACACGACUGCAUUGUGGGCUGAUUUCAGACUCUGAUUAAGCCGACUCUGGAUGCAGGAAAUGACCUGUGGGUAUACAUAGGCCUUUGAUGUACUAAAACCCUGUUACUGAAACCCAAUACCACAAGUAGCUGAAAUUAUAAUGGCUCCAAACUCAGUAAAAAGAUAAGUGUAGAAAAUUACAAUAAAUCAUAAAGAAAAAUAAUAUCCUGCAUUUUCAUUUUCAAUAAUAAAAGGCUUAUUCAAGGUGAGGACAAAUGCUGAAAAAGGAGUUUGAUACUCCUUAAUACUAUUAAUAUAUUCUGACUCAAAUGAUAGCCUGCUUUAUGUUACGCCCCAAAUAGAGUUUUUUUUUUUUUUACCACUGCUAUGUGAGGGAUUUUUCAUAGCUUUGCAGAGGCUAUGCAGCUGCCAAAGUUAUUUUAAGCUCCAUUAUACAGCUCUAUCGAUCCACAGGGAGCUCAUGUACUGUGAUUUGUAAUGCUAUGCUGCCCUCUGGUGGCGAAAGCCACUUAUGACAAUGAUUAAAGAUGGCUGAAUGAGCUGUAUGAGUCAUCUUCCCAAAUGUCAACCACCUUUCUAACUCACCGUGAGCCACUUGUUUCACAGCCAUGGGUGACUGUAAUAUUAACUAGCUAAUGUCUUCCGUGGCAUGGUGUCAUGAAACUGAUUUGACCGUGGUGGAUAUUUUAAUGUCAAAGCCCUCUAACUCUCUUUCUCCCUUCUAUAUUUCUGGCUGAAUCAUCACAUCACACUCACAGCGUGUUUCCCUUCCCUUAAUGUUUUUUUUUGCUGCGUCAGGCUGGCUCUGUGACAGGUCUUUCCCUAAGGUUUGUCAACUUCUGUUUAGUGCAUCACAAGAUAAACACCACAGAGAGAUUUGCUGAAACAUAGCAAUGUGUUAAUUACCAUCAAGGGGCGGUUUCCCAGACACAGAUUAAGAUAACUCCUGGACUAAAAAGCCCUUUCAAGAUUCUCCUUGACCAUGCAUUUUAAUCCAGGACUAGGCUUAAUCUCAGUCUGGAAAACCGAACCUUAAGGUAUUUGACAAACUGAUGACAUAUAAAUUACAGUUUUACUUACCUAUCAGGGUGGGGAUCCUGAUCUCAUAAAAUAAUAUGCAUACCUUUUAUAUAAUCUUUAAAACCAAGAUAUUGUAGGUUUCCACUAACAACCAGGGUUGGAAAUGCUGGGGGAAAUGGGUUCCCCUGGGAGAUCGUUUUGACAUGCAGAAAUGUGCAUCUUUAAAUUUUCCUCUAUCAUUUUGGCAUGCACUGAAUUCAAGGAUUUUACAUUGGAGGGUUCGCAUAGUGAUUUUUUUCUCCUUUUUCACCCCUUAUAAUAUGCAUAUCUUUUUAUAAUCUUUGAAACCAAGAUACUGUAUGUUUCCACCAACAACAGUCCUGCAUCUACCCUGAGUGCCAGUCUGUUUAAUAUGCUAUCAUGCCAACUCCUUGUUAACACUCAUUGUCAUGCCAAUGACAGCAAUGGAGUUGGCAAGAGCUCAAACAGAUCUGGGACCAGGCUAUCCUGCACCCAGUUCAAGAAGUGGAAAUAUAUUGUGUAUUUUCUUCCAAUGACAGUACAUAACUGGUUCUUCUUAACAUUCAUAUGAAAAAGUCUGUUUAUUUGACACCUGUAGACUUUGUUUGUUUAUAUGAAAAGGUGUUACUAAUCGACCCGAUGCGUUGAUAUCACAUGUAUCAAAUGGAAUCCUUCAAAUCAAAAAGUGGGUUAGAUAGAGAUCAAUCCAAAUGCACAACCAAACUUCACAACCAAAAUAAACUGGAAUAUGUGACGUUUGUCAGUCCAGCUUACCUUUGCAAGGUCCACUAGUGAGUUUGCUUGGUCAUUCAGCUUGCGUUGCUCCAUUUUAACACUUCUCAAUCUGAACAGAAGACCAUUCAGAACCCAAUAAAUGUAUCUAUUUGGUAAAGAUGGGUUUAACAGAUGUGUGCACACAGAAGGAAUACACAUAGAGAGCACUCACUCCUAGGACAUGCACAGGAUGUGUGUAGAAAAUGCAGGAAUUGGUUUAAGACAGUUUGAUUGGUUGAGCUGCAUGCAAGUGAAGACCAGAGUAUAGAAGCUGCCAGAGAGGAGAAUGUCUACUACUGCAGUAAAUCUUCAGCCCCUGAUCUCUACAACAAAGUAACAUACAAGGGCUCAACUAGGGAGAUAAAAUCGCUUGCAAUGGGAUUUUGCUGAAUUAUAGGAUUAAAGCAGUGUAUAUAAACUAUAAUAAUAAAAGCUUAAU
Molecule: long non-coding RNA, 6627 nt
Organism: Salvelinus namaycush (lake trout)
Lineage: Eukaryota; Metazoa; Chordata; Actinopteri; Salmoniformes; Salmonidae
Exons: 3
Source: RefSeq, a predicted model, not a curated record